RNAcentral lists this ribosomal RNA (253 nucleotides) under uncultured prokaryote. RNAcentral's name for it is "partial 16S ribosomal RNA". It matches the Rfam family "Bacterial small subunit ribosomal RNA", at positions 525 to 777 of the family's 1533-position model. The record is from RNAcentral.
ACGUAGGAGGCAAGCGUUAUCCGGAUUUACUGGGCGUAAAGCGCGUGUAGGCGGUUCGGUAAGUUGGAUGUGAAAUCUCCUGGCUCAACUAGGAGAGGUCGUUCAAUACUGCCAGACUAGAGGACGGUAGAGGAAGGUAGAAUUCCCGGUGUAGUGGUGAAAUGCGUAGAUAUCGGGAGGAAUACCAGUGGCGAAGGCGGCCUUCUGGGCCGUUCCUGACGCUCAGACGCGAAAGCGUGGGUAGCGAACGGGA